AUCUUAAGAACUGAUAAUGGCACAAAAUGUAUUAAUGGUGUUGUUUGAGCUUAUUUGGAUUCAAAUGGUAUAAUGCAUCAAAUUAGUUGCAUCAAUACUAGUGAAUAAAAUGAGAUGUCCAAAAGAAAAAAUAAAUAUUUAUUAAAGGUGGCUCAAUCUCUUCCGUUUACUAUGAAUCUUUCGACGCUUUGUUGGGGGAUGCAAUUCUUGCUACAACUUAUCUUAUCAAUAGAAUGCCUAAACUGAACUUUAAAAGCCCUUUAGA
This 265-nucleotide unclassified non-coding RNA is filed under the name Hevea brasiliensis (rubber tree). Lineage: Eukaryota; Viridiplantae; Streptophyta; Magnoliopsida; Malpighiales; Euphorbiaceae. The record is from RNAcentral.